Molecule: transfer RNA, 58 nt
Filed under: Ictidomys tridecemlineatus (thirteen-lined ground squirrel)
Lineage: Eukaryota; Metazoa; Chordata; Mammalia; Rodentia; Sciuridae
Description: Spermophilus tridecemlineatus (thirteen-lined ground squirrel) tRNA
Rfam family: tRNA
About the family: Transfer RNA (tRNA) molecules are approximately 80 nucleotides in length. Their secondary structure includes four short double-helical elements and three loops (D, anti-codon, and T loops). Further hydrogen bonds mediate the characteristic L-shaped molecular structure. tRNAs have two regions of fundamental functional importance: the anti-codon, which is responsible for specific mRNA codon recognition, and the 3' end, to which the tRNAs corresponding amino acid is attached (by aminoacyl-tRNA synthetases). tRNAs cope with the degeneracy of the genetic code in two manners: having more than one tRNA (with a specific anti-codon) for a particular amino acid; and 'wobble' base-pairing, i.e. permitting non-standard base-pairing at the 3rd anti-codon position.
Source: Rfam by way of RNAcentral
UAGCUCAGUUGGUAGAGUGCUUGCCUGGCAUGCACAAGGCCCUGGGUUCAAUUCCCAG